AUACAAUUGCAUGUCCUGGCAGUACUGAUAACCUGCCUUCCUCUACCUUUUCCAUCCUUGGCACCCUCAAUAAUUCCUGGGAGGUCCAACAACUGAAUUUUAGCUCCCCGAUACAUGAUGACACCAGGAAUGCAAGUUAAGGUGGUAAAUUCGUAUGAAGCAACCUCAGAAAAAGUUCCUGUCAGUUUGUUCAAGAGAGUCGAUUUUCCAACUGAAGGAAAACCUACUAAACCAACUCUUGCAUCACCACUUUUUGUAACAUCAAAACCUUCUCCAGCUCCACCACCACCUUUUGACGUAGGUGUAAGAAGUUCCCUUCGAAGUUUCGCCAGUUUUGCCUUUAACAAACCGAGAUGAUGAGCAGUCGCUUUGUUCUUUUGGGUCUUAGCCAUCUCAUCUUCGAUAUCUUUGAUUUUCUGCAUGACGGUCGCCAUUGUUGCUGAUUUGAACGCCGGAGAGUUUCGCCGGAAGAGAAGGGCAAAAAGGGGUACUGUAAAGACAGCGCUGA
Molecule: unclassified non-coding RNA, 508 nt
Filed under: Hevea brasiliensis (rubber tree)
Lineage: Eukaryota; Viridiplantae; Streptophyta; Magnoliopsida; Malpighiales; Euphorbiaceae
Source: RNAcentral